Nerophis ophidion (straightnose pipefish) is the source of this 411-nucleotide long non-coding RNA. RefSeq lists it as uncharacterized. The record is from RefSeq and is a predicted model, not a curated record. Lineage: Eukaryota; Metazoa; Chordata; Actinopteri; Syngnathiformes; Syngnathidae. The transcript is spliced from 3 exons.
AUGAGCGCUGCGCACACAUACAGCUAAAUGUCAUCUGCUUUAACGGCAUAAUUAGACAGUUUUUUUGACAUCUGUGUUGCUGAAUCUUUUGCAAUGUGUUCAAUUAAUAUUGGAGAAGUCACAGUAGAAAGAUGGAGUUGGGAAGCUUUAGCCUUUAGCCACACAAACACACGGUAAUUCCUUGUUUAAAAUUCCUGGAGGUGAAACUUUCCUAUAGAUCAGAGCGCGGUCAAGCGAACAUGGAUCCUACCGAAUGUCAACCAGCAGGUUUCGCUGCCGUCGACUCCACUGAGACACUGCGCGUCAAGACGCCCGUGUAGACACCCUUCUGACUAUCAGUGUACAGCUGCCGUCGACUUCCAUCAGACACUGGCCUCAAGACACUUGUGGACACACACUUCCGACUAUCAG